Peromyscus maniculatus bairdii (prairie deer mouse) is the source of this 254-nucleotide non-coding RNA. The record is from RefSeq and is a predicted model, not a curated record. Lineage: Eukaryota; Metazoa; Chordata; Mammalia; Rodentia; Cricetidae.
CAAGGCUCUGUCUCUGCCAUAGAAAGGAAGUCCUCACCAGAUACUGAAUCUGCACACACUUAGUAUUAAACUGCCUAAUCCCCCAUACCUGUCAAGUUUUAAAUGGCCACCUAAGCAACACAGCUGCACAAGGACACAUCAUGGCAGGAUUGUGAGGUAGCACAAUGCUGGCUCAAGGCCAAGAUACCUGAAAUGGGGGAGGAAUCAACUGGGAUUGACUGUCUUAUAAUUAAGAUAAAAACUACAGCAUCAUU